RNAcentral lists this ribosomal RNA (253 nucleotides) under uncultured bacterium. Its description in RNAcentral is "partial 16S ribosomal RNA". It matches the Rfam family "Bacterial small subunit ribosomal RNA", at positions 524 to 776 of the family's 1533-position model. The record is from RNAcentral.
UACAGAGGGUGCAAGCGUUGUUCGGAAUUACUGGGCGUAAAGCGCGUGUAGGUGGCGAUGUAAGUCGGGUGUGAAAUCCCUCAGCUUAACUGAGGAAGUGCACUCGAUACUGUGUCGCUUGAGUGUUGGAGGGGAUGGCGGAAUUCCCGGUGUAGAGGUGAAAUUCGUAGAUAUUCGCAAGAACACCAGUGGCGAAGGCGGCUCACUGGCCCGAUACUGACGCUGAGGCACGAAAGCGUGGGGAGCAAACAGG